Molecule: unclassified non-coding RNA, 4021 nt
Filed under: Hevea brasiliensis (rubber tree)
Lineage: Eukaryota; Viridiplantae; Streptophyta; Magnoliopsida; Malpighiales; Euphorbiaceae
Source: RNAcentral
GAAAAAAGAAAAAAAAAAAAGAGAACCCACAAAUACUAGAAGACUGACUUUUGUUGUGAUAUAUUAGAAUGGGCAAAAUGGAUUCACUUAUUGCUUUUCUUUUAGUUAUGCAAUUUGCUUUCAUCUAUCAGAAUUCUUACAUGGGAUUUUCUUAUUAGCAAUGGCCACAACAAAAUUGGGAGAGCAGAAGGAAGAAAUAUUGGAAGAGUUGAAGAAAGAGAAUUCGAGAAAAAUUAUCCUUGAGGGGGACACUGGAGUGGGUAAAACAUGGAUGGCAAGAGAGAUACAAAAAAUAGCAAUCAGAGAUGGCAUAUGCUAUGCAAGUCUUUGGGUAUCCCUAAAUAUAAAAUAUGAUGACAGGUCAUUUUAUGAGAACAUAGCUUGUCAGUUAGCUGUAUUUUCUGCUACUGAGGAAUGGGAAGAUGAUGACAAUAAUGAGAAGGAUGAGCAGACGCUCGACAGCUUGAAGCAAAGUAUUUUAACAAAGCUUGAAGUACAGAGAUCAGAAAAUCAUCGAAAUAACAAAUGUCUUCUGCUGAUUUUGGAUGAUGAGGGAAAAAAGAUGAAAGAAGACUGGAUUAUGUCAAAACUGCAUCCUGUAAUUCCUGAGAUUGACCGAAAAACAUUGAAAGUCGUAAUUUCUGGAAGGCAAAGCUAUGAUGGCCAAAUUAUUGAUGACACUGCCGCAGUAAUUACUGUUGAACCCAAGGUAAUUAAGGUUGAAUCUUUAUCCGAAGGCGAGUCCUUGACUUUAUUGCAAAGUAGAGUUGACAAAAAAGUUGCUGAAGUAUAUGACACAUUGCCACACAGUGUAGAUUGCUUUUGGCAUAGCAGGCAAUUCUUCUCCAAAUAUGGUGCUGUGCAUUACAAUGAGUUGAUCACUCACUGGCUAAUUGAAGGCUUUUUAGGUCCUUUUAAUCAUGUGGAGGCGGCUUAUGAGGAUGGACACCAAAUUUUGAUGGAGUUUAUAAAUCGUGGCAUUUUAAAAAUUCAAGAGGAUAAUAUUGUUGUCAUGGAAGGAUCAAUGCUGAAUUUGGUUGAUCAACGUAAUCUUGGAUUUGUUGGGACAGCUAGAGUUGGACUUGCUAGUGUGCUUGAGGAUGAUGAGUGGGAAGGUCUUGGGAGAAUCACACAUACUGAUGGAAUGAUAAAAACACUGCAUAGUGGUAAAAAAGGAGAAAAGAUUUACACUUUAAUGAUUGACGGAAGUCGUCUCUCCAGGGAAGUCCCUGAAAUGUUCUUUCAGCACCUGCUUGAACUAAAAGUCCUUGUGUUUUUUGGUCCCAGAUUUAAGCUGCUUCCCUCAUCUUUAUCUAAAAUGGACAAUCUACGUAUUCUUGUUCUCAGGGGCUGUGAUCUACUGGAGGACAUCAGCUACAUCAAAGAACUCAAAACUUUGAGUGCUCUUGAGAUAUCCAAUGCUAGUGCUUUAAAAACAAUCCCAGACAACCUAUUUGAGCAAAUGUCUCACCUUCGAAGUCUUAACCUAUCUGCACUCAGCAUCAAAUCAUUACCCUCUAUUUUGAACUUGAAGGAACUUCGUUGGCUCAUUCUAAGACAGUGUUCUCGCUUGCAAGAUUUGCCAAAACUGCAAGCAUUUACAAAUCUUGAAGUGCUUGAUCUCUGUGGCGCUACCUCUUUCAAAAGGUUCCAGGACAAAAACUUUGCCCCCCUUCAGAAACUUCAGACCCUUGACCUUUCCAAUACUAAAGUUGAACGCCUACCCAUAUUUCAAGAUCGUGAAAAAUUCCCAUCUCUUAAAAACCUCAAGCGGCUAUUAUUAAACUGUUGUGAUCAUUUAACUAGACUGCCCAGUCUGAAACCAUUAUCUGGUCUCCAAAUUCUUGAUCUUUCCGGUUCUGUUAUGUUGAAGGAAAUCAAUGAAGAAUCGUUUGAAGAAAAGGACAACCUUAAAACUCUCAAUCUAUCUGGAACUUCUAUAAUCCAAUUGUCUUUUGACAAUUUGGACAUCUGUGAUCUCAACUUGACAGGUUGUUCUGGCCUGGAAGAACUGCCUUGCACAGAAACACUCAAAGACCUUAAGCGGCUUGAUCUUUCUGAUGCCUCUAGUUUGGUCAGAAUCAAAGACAACUCCUUUGAGCAUCUGAAACUCCUGAGCUAUCUCAACCUCUCAAAUACGAAAGUUACAGCUCUGCCUUCAGUUUCCAACCUCCACAACCUUCGUGAGCUUUUACUAAGGAAUUGUUCAUGCAUUGAGAAACUGCAAAACAUUGAAGGACUUAUAAGGCUUGAGGUUCUUGAUCUUUCAGGUUGCAGAUCUUUGAUAGCAAUAGAAGGUGAACCCUUCAAGCUGAUGUCUAGGCUUCAGACGCUCAACCUUUCUGAAACUAAAAUUAAAUGUCUACCAUCUCUUCAGAAUCCAAGCAACCUCUGUCAUCUUGUAUUGAGAAACUGUACCAACCUCCAAAAGCUUCCACCAUUGGAAUCCUUAUCAAAACUUGAGGUGCUUGAUCUUUCUGGUUCCAGCUCUUUGACUGAAAUCAAAGCUGAAUUCCUUGAACGUUUAACAAGCCUGGAAAUUCUUGAUCUAUCUGAAAUCAAGGUCGAGGGGGUUUUAACCAUGUCCAGUCUUUCCAAUUUAAUCAAUCUCAAUCAACUUUCACUGAAAGGUUGCUCAACCUUAGAAGCAGAACCACGUCUGGAAGUUUUUACGAAACUUGAGGUUCUGGAUCUCUCUAGAACAACUGUUAAGUCUCUUCCAUCUUUGGAAAAACUUAGUGGCCUCUGCAAACUUUUGCUUAAAGAUUGUUCAGAAAUAGAAAAGUUGCCAUCCCUGAAAUCACUCAGCCAUCUGCAGGUUCUUGAUCUAUCUGGAACCAAAAUCAAGGAACUUCCUGAUGGGAUUUCAGAGUUGACUUGUUUAAAUCACCUUGAUAUUCCAGACUUGAAGAUCAUUGAAGAAGUUGGUUGGGAAAAUAUAAAGCGCAUACCGGAGGAACUAAGCUGGGAUCAAUGCAGUAUUUCUGAGCCAGUUGAAAUUAGUUUGGAUGGUAAGAAGAAGCCUUCCAUACUGGUGAAUGGUACCAAAUUUUUCCGAUUUUUGAAGGAAAAUUCCAAGUUAGGGGAGGUUUGUUUGAAGCAGAUGUUUUUCACAGUUUGUCCUAUGAAGCAAGGUGGUGAUCCUAAUAUUUAUCCUCCCAAAGAUGAACUAAUUGACAACAUCUACUUCCAGCUUAGGCAUUUUUCUGGUCCUAAAGAGGAGGUACGGACAAUGGAAAUUCAUGGAUUUGAUGAGUUUCCCACUGGUCUUGAGGACGUUCUCAAGGAUGUAGAAUACAUUUCUUUCGUUGAAAAUACAUUUAUGACUUGUUUGUCAGAUUUUGGAGUUGGCAACUUGAAGAAGAUGAGGGGUUGUUGGCUAGAGAGAUGUUCUAAAUUGAGGAGCAUUCUUUUCAGUGGAACAGAUGUUCUGCUGGGGGAGAAUAUGGAGAUUUUGUGGGUGUCAAGCCUCCCUCAUUUGCAAAGUCUAUGCAGUGAGAAGGUGAACUUGAAUAAUCUUCAGCACUUGAAUAUAGAGUGUUGUCCAAUGCUAGAAAAUGUUUUCGCUUUGCCACCACUGCUGGAGAACCUCAAAAUACUCCAGAUUAAAUUUUGUGAUAAUGUGAAGACUCUAUUCAAGUUUAAUGAGUCGAGUAAGUGUGUUGUUCAGAAAUUGCACACUGUGAGAUUGUUAGAACUGCCUGAGCUGACAAGCAUAGGGGCUGUUUUGCCUUCUCUAGAUAUUUUUGAUCCUAGAGAAUGCCCAAAGCUGGAGGACUCGAAAGAAAGUCUCAAAAUAGGGACCGCAUCUCCUUAAAUUGCAGAAGCUAUCAUAUAACGGCCAUCUCUGCUACUUCUGUAGUUGUGGGAACAUCUGAACCAAGAAGCUUCCCAUAGUGUGAUGGAAGUUACCAGCAGAAGUUAAAUGGUUCCUGGCAUGCUUGAGGUUGGAACUCUAUCUUGAUUUGUCACGGUACUCAUUGUCCUUGCUGAUGACUUACACAGAGAGAGAGAGAGAGAG